RNAcentral lists this ribosomal RNA (253 nucleotides) under uncultured bacterium. RNAcentral describes it as "partial 16S ribosomal RNA". It matches the Rfam family "Bacterial small subunit ribosomal RNA", at positions 524 to 776 of the family's 1533-position model. The record is from RNAcentral.
GACGUAGGGUGCAAGCGUUGUCCGGAUUUAUUGGGCGUAAAGAGCUCGUAGGCGGCUUGUUGCGUCGACUGUGAAAACCCGCGGCUUAACCGCGGGCUUGCAGUUGAUACGGGCAGGCUAGAGUUCGGUAGGGGAGACUGGAAUUCCUGGUGUAGCGGUGAAAUGCGCAGAUAUCAGGAGGAACACCGGUGGCGAAGGCGGGUCUCUGGGCCGAUACUGACGCUGAGGAGCGAAAGCGUGGGGAUCAAACAGG